UGGGGAAUAUUGCACAAUGGGCGCAAGCCUGAUGCAGCCAUGCCGCGUGUGUGAAGAAGGCCUUCGGGUUGUAAAGCACUUUCAGUCGUGAGGAAGGUAGUGUAGUUAAUAGCUGCAUUAUUUGACGUUAGCGACAGAAGAAGCACCGGCUAACUCCGUGCCAGCAGCCGCGGUAAUACGGAGGGUGCGAGCGUUAAUCGGAAUUACUGGGCGUAAAGCGCAUGCAGGUGGUUUGUUAAGUCAGAUGUGAAAGCCCGGGGCUCAACCUCGGAAUUGCAUUUGAAACUGGCAGACUAGAGUACUGUAGAGGGGGGUAGAAUUUCAGGUGUAGCGGUGAAAUGCGUAGAGAUCUGAAGGAAUACCGGUGGCGAAGGCGGCCCCCUGGACAGAUACUGACACUCAGAUGCGAAAGCGUGGGGAGCAAACAGGAUUAGAUACCCCCGUAGUCC
RNAcentral lists this ribosomal RNA (449 nucleotides) under uncultured prokaryote. RNAcentral's name for it is "bacterial SSU rRNA". It matches the Rfam family "Bacterial small subunit ribosomal RNA", at positions 355 to 796 of the family's 1533-position model. The record is from RNAcentral.